UAGAGUAACUAUCAACUGACAAGGCACAGAUAUACCAAGAAAUCAGACUCCCAUUGUAGUAGUUUUUGGUAAUACCUAUUGGGAUUUAAUUCAGCCUGCUUGUUGCCAUGAGAUUGGCCUUUAUCAUCCCCCUCCACUUGCAUUUACAAAAGUAAAGAGUAGUCAGAACCUUGAGAUAAUGUACUGGUUGUAGCAAAGAAGUGUUCAUAGCAAACAAAACACAUAGAGGAAAAGUUAAAAGAGAUACUAGAGAAGGAGCACCCUCAUCUCCCUACAUGGCAAACUAUCCAGUAGAUUUUCAUUUGAUAAAGAUCAGCAACAAUGCACGUACAUCGCCUACUUGCCUUUGAGCUGAGCCGCAGUAACGAGAAGCCUCAGCACCGGCUCUAGCACCUACUAGGAGAGAAGGUUUAGCAAAUAACACUACUGAGCUACAUACAGUAGCAGCAAACUAUCCAAUCCAUCGCCAUGGCAUAGCAACCAAAACCAGAUCUUGGGCAAGAGGAGAAGAAGCUACAAACCUUAGAUACUCCCAAGAAAAUGUAUUGAAGUUCAAUCCACUUGUGGAAGUGAGGCAGUGAGGCUGAAUUCGCCAUGGACUUCUGUUCCACCUACAUAUAUGAGUUAUAAGAAAUAAUUCUUGAAAGAAUUAUACAGUCAAGUAGUUUCAGUUCACAGCUAGAUCAAUUUUAGUGUGAUUCAUUCCUUGUGCGCAUGGUCUGCACUUCCACAACACCAUUUGAUAGAGCAAAGAUAACACUCUGAAAUGUGAUGGAUUACCAUAUAGUUUCAGUUUCACUCUCUUAUCUAGGUAUUGGUUCGGUUCAUUUUCAUUGGCUGAAAACUAAAGCACCUAGAAGUGUGUGUUUAACUAUUGGUUUUGAUGGCUCUCUCGAAUGUAAAUUGUCUCCAUGAGGAUAGCUUCACCUAUACAUACCUAGACAUAGCUUCCCUAUUAAUCACCUACAGACAAACUAGUUUCCAGCUAAGUAAUAUAUUGUCCACUGAAAACAGGGUGCAACCUGGGACCCUAAAAAUAUUUAUUUCAUGGCAGGGUUAGUUUACAUGGAUCCACCUGUUUUAACCAAAAAGUUGGCCAAUUGAUUGAAAAAUUGUACUGAUUUAUAAACUGAAGAUACCAGCAGAUUUUCUUGAACCUGAUAGCAUACAAACAAUGGGUUGGGCAAAAAUACCAUUGCUGAACUGAAAGACAAAAGCUCAGCAGCUUCUACUCAGCAAAUGAUUGACAACCUAGACAUGUAGGACUGCUUAACAAUUUCAGUGUAGCUCUCAGUUAUCUGUACACAUUAUUUAGGCAAUCAUCGAGCAAUCUCUCGGUACUACCACUUCACCUUUAACCCCCAUCAACCUUCAUUCCCCUUUUAACACUCUCUUACAUGUAUGAGCAGGAUAGCAUGUUAACUCAGAAAUUCUCCCUUAAGCAUAUAAAUCGAACCAGAACACAAAGAAAACGAAACCCUGAAACCCAAUACAAAUUAACUUUGUACAAGUUGCAGAACUCGUUGAUUUGUUCUACUACUAUCACACAGAAGUGGACACAUUAAUUCAUGACAGGGAGGAGAAGAAUCUAGGGUUACCUUGGAAUAAGUGAUAGAUCGACACUUAUCGCUCAGUAGCUACAGGAAAAAAUACAUAAAAGUUUAGAACACGAGAAUCACAACUUUGGGGAUCGGAAGAAACAAAAAGCGAUCGGCAGAUCUAGGAGGAAAAGAGCAAUAGCAGUAGGUACAGAGCACACCUAGCGGUAGCCUUGCACAGUGAAAGGCGCGGUAGGUAGAGGGCGCUGUGAAAGGGAGCGAGUGGUGGACGAGAUUGACAUCGGUGGAAGAGUUUGGCAUGGCGGCGAGAUGGCAAAGAGAAAGCGGCGGCGGCAUGGUGCAGUG
Molecule: long non-coding RNA, 1904 nt
Filed under: Brachypodium distachyon (stiff brome)
Lineage: Eukaryota; Viridiplantae; Streptophyta; Magnoliopsida; Poales; Poaceae
Description: long non-coding RNA (BDIS_LNC004023)
Source: RNAcentral